AUAAAACAAAAGAGAAAACACAACAGCAAAUCAGAAAACACAACGACAUGAACCAUUGUGGUUUCUUUAUUGUGUUGUGUUUUCUAAUUUGCUGUUGUGUUUUCUCUCAUUUGUUGUU
RNAcentral lists this microRNA precursor (118 nucleotides) under Xyrichtys novacula (pearly razorfish). Lineage: Eukaryota; Metazoa; Chordata; Actinopteri; Labriformes; Labridae. The record is from RNAcentral.